GACGGGACCCGCACAAGCGGUGGAUGAUGUGGAUUAAUUCGAUGCAACGCGAAAACCUUACCUACCCUUGACAUGUCCGGAAUCCGAGGAGAUUUGGGAGUGCUCGCAAGAGAGCCGGAACACAGGUGCUGCAUGGCUGUCGUCAGCUCGUGUCGUGAGAUGUUGGGUUAAGUCCCGCAACGAGCGCAACCCUUGUCAUUAGUUGCCAUCAUUUGGUUGGGCACUCUAAUGAGACUGCCGGUGACAAACCGGAGGAAGGUGGGGAUGACGUCAAGUCCUCAUGGCCCUUAUGGGUAGGGCUUCACACGUCAUACAAUGGUCGGUACAGAGGGUUGCCAACCCGCGAGGGGGAGCUAAUCCCACAAAGCCGAUCGUAGUCCGGAUCGCAGUCUGCAACUCGACUGCGUGAAGUCGGAAUCGCUAGUAAUCGUGGAUCAGCAUGUCACGGUGAAUACGUUCCCGGGUCUU
Molecule: ribosomal RNA, 468 nt
Filed under: uncultured Rhodocyclaceae bacterium
Lineage: Bacteria; Pseudomonadati; Pseudomonadota; Betaproteobacteria; Rhodocyclales; Rhodocyclaceae
Description: bacterial SSU rRNA
Rfam family: Bacterial small subunit ribosomal RNA
Source: RNAcentral